GACGAACGCUGGCGGCGUGCCUAACACAUGCAAGUCGAGCGGGAACCUCAGGAGGGGGUAACCCUUCUGAGGGGAGAGCGGCGAACGGGUGAGUAACACGUGGGCAACCUGCCCCGGACACCGGGAUAACCCAGGGAAACCUGAGCUAAUACCGGAUACUCCGGCGCGAUCGCAUGGUCGUGCCGGGAAAGCUCCGACGGUCCGGGAUGGGCCCGCGGCCUAUCAGCUUGUUGGUGGGGUAACGGCCCACCAAGGCGACGACGGGUAGCUGGUCUGAGAGGACGGCCAGCCACACUGGGACUGAGACACGGCCCAGACUCCUACGGGAGGCAGCAGGUGGGGGAUCUUGCGCUAAUGCGCGAAAGCGUGACGCAGCGACGCCGCGUGGGGAUG
RNAcentral lists this ribosomal RNA (393 nucleotides) under uncultured bacterium. Its description in RNAcentral is "bacterial SSU rRNA". It matches the Rfam family "Bacterial small subunit ribosomal RNA", at positions 28 to 410 of the family's 1533-position model. The record is from RNAcentral.